RNAcentral lists this ribosomal RNA (253 nucleotides) under uncultured bacterium. RNAcentral describes it as "partial 16S ribosomal RNA". It matches the Rfam family "Bacterial small subunit ribosomal RNA", at positions 524 to 776 of the family's 1533-position model. The record is from RNAcentral.
UACGUAGGGUCCAAGCGUUAUCCGGAAUCACUGGGCGUAAAGCGUGCGUAGGUGGCGUGUUAAGUGUGAUGUUAAAACGUGGGGCUCAACCCUGUCGGUGCAUCACAUACUGGCAUGCUAGAGGACGGCAGAGGCAAGUGGAACUCGUAGUGUAGCAGUGAAAUGCGUAGAUAUUACGAAGAACACCAAUGGCGAAGGCAGCUUGCUGGGCCACUCCUGACACUGAGGUACGAAAGCGUGGGGAGCGAACAGG